Molecule: ribosomal RNA, 274 nt
Filed under: uncultured bacterium
Lineage: Bacteria
Description: partial 16S ribosomal RNA
Rfam family: Bacterial small subunit ribosomal RNA
Source: RNAcentral
AUACGGGGGGAGCAAGCGUUGUCCGGAAUUACUGGGCGUAAAGGGCGUGUAGGCGGCUUGAUAAGUCAGAUGUGAAAGUCUUCCGCUUAACGGAAGAACUGCAUUUGAAACUGUCGGGCUUGAGUGCGAGAGAGGGUAGUGGAAUUCCCAGUGUAGCGGUGAAAUGCGUAGAUAUUGGGAAGAACACCAGUAGCGAAGGCGGCUACCUGGCUCGUAACUGACGCUAAGGCGCGAAAGCGUGGGGAGCAAACAGGAUUAGAAACCCUAGUAGUCC